RNAcentral lists this long non-coding RNA (203 nucleotides) under Gossypium raimondii (Peruvian cotton). RNAcentral's name for it is "long non-coding RNA (GRAI_LNC010701)". Lineage: Eukaryota; Viridiplantae; Streptophyta; Magnoliopsida; Malvales; Malvaceae. The record is from RNAcentral.
AAAAACUACCUUGGCUCGUAAAUAUUUCUCGUAUAUGACCGGUGUCGCAACACCCUAGUGCCUGUGUCGGAACAUUGAAGGCAGUAUGCUCGUACUCAGGGUAGCUUCAAGGGUGUGCCGUGACAUCCAUUGGUUGUGUUGUGAUGUUGAAGGCAUUCUUGGAAUUCUUACUCUAUCCUUCCUAUGUUGCAACAUUAAGCUCC